AGAGUGAAAUACAUAUGACAUUGUUCCAAUGCAAUGAAUCAGAACGAUGAUUGAUAUAGUGAUCGAGCAAAGCCGUCAGCACUUUAUGAUCAAAUCUAAUGAAACACAAUAGUAUUGUAACUGGUUCUUCCAAAAUCUCUACCAGCAUGUCACUUGUAAUUACUUUAUUCUAAUCACUUGUUCUAAAUUUGUUUUCGUACUUGGUAUUGCCGUCUGCAGAAAAUUGAGACCAUAAGAAACUGUUUGUGUUAAUUAACUAUUUCUAUAUGCCAUGAAAGAAAAUUUUAUCUGAUUGAAUUGCAUAAAGCAAUGGUCACUUGGAUUCUAAAAUGAUAACUUUACAUAAAAUCACCUUUGUUUACCUCUGUUGCAUAGAGGAGUUUAUAGGAGAAAAAAUUAUAAAGUGAGAUUGUUGAGCAUUAGCACAGUCCUAAAGGAUAAAUUAUUGGACAGACGCUCAAGUGUAGCGUUGCAGAUCAAGUAACGCUGAAAGCCAGGGAUUCUGACCUUAGUUCUGCUCCAUAUUAUAAGUUGUUCUUAGGCUUCGAAUGUGUUAUGAUUUUGUUUAUGCCUAUCUUGAAAGUAAUGAACUUUCAGCUUCUCCAUGUUAUCCA
RNAcentral lists this long non-coding RNA (614 nucleotides) under Trifolium pratense (red clover). RNAcentral describes it as "long non-coding RNA (TPRA_LNC004739)". Lineage: Eukaryota; Viridiplantae; Streptophyta; Magnoliopsida; Fabales; Fabaceae. The record is from RNAcentral.